This is an RNA transcript of Osmerus eperlanus (European smelt), 3359 nucleotides long. It is a transcript of the gene named trichohyalin-like, with no coding region annotated. NCBI's taxonomy places the organism in Eukaryota, Metazoa, Chordata, Actinopteri, Osmeriformes, Osmeridae. The transcript has 3 exons. The record is from RefSeq and is a predicted model, not a curated record.
GAUGGGCAAAACGAGUGAGGAGGCAAGAGAAACAGAAGCACUGCAGAGGGACUUUGAAAGACAGAGAGAGACAGAAAGAAAGUACCAUCAGGAGAGACAAGAGGAGGAAGAGAGACAGAAAGAGAUGGAGCUAAAGAUGGAUGCAGCAAAACACAAAGAAGAGCGUCAGAGGGACAUUGAGAGUUUUGACGAGCUUGCAGAACAUCGAGAGAUUGAGAUGAAGGGAGAACAGCUGACAGGGAGAGGAAAGAGAAAGGACAAAAAGAAAUGGAGAGAGCAAAGGAGGAGGCCAGACAAGAAGAAGACCUGCAGAGGGAAGUUAAGAGACUGAAAGAGACUGAAAGACAGCAAGAACAGGAGAGACGAGAGAAGGAGAUGGAGAGACAGAGAGAACUAGAAAGAGAAAGGGAAGAUGCAAGAGAAAAAGAAGCACUGAAAAGGGAAGUUGAAAGACUUGUAGAGAUGGAGAGACAGAAUGAGACUGAAAGACAGCAAGAACAAGAGAGACGAGAGAGGGAGAGACAAAAAGAACUAGAAAGAGAGAGGGAGGACGCAAGACAAAAAGAGGAUAUUGAAAAAGAACUUGAAAGACAAAAGAAAAUUGACAGAAAGGCCAAACUGGAGAUGGAGGGUGCAAGAGAAAAAGAAGUGCUGAAAAGGGAAGUUGAAAGACUUGAAGAGAUGGAGAGACGAGAGAAGGAGAGGGAGAGACAGAGAGAACUAGAAAGAGAGAGUGAGGACGCAAGACAAAAACAGGUUCUUCAGAAGGAAAUUGAAAGACUUGAAGAGAAUGCAAGGCAAAGAGAGAAUGAAAGUCAACAAGAUAAAAUGAGACGAGAAAAGGAGGAAGAGAGACAAAAACAGAUGGACAAAACGAGUGAGGAGGCAAGAGAAACAGAAGCACUGCAGAGGGACCUUGAAAGACCGAGAGAGACAAAAAGAAAGUACCAUCAGGAGAGACAAGAGGAGGAAGAGAGACAGAAAGAGAUGGAGCUAAAGAUGGAUGCAGCAAAACACAAAGAAGAGCGUCAGAGGGACAUUGAGAGAUUUGACGGGCUUGCAGAACAUCGAGGGAUUGAGAUGAAGGGAGAACGGCUGACGGGGGAGAGGAAAGAGAAAAGACGAAAAGAAAUGGAGAGAGCAAAGGAGGAGGCCAGACAAGAAGAAGACCUGCAGAGGGAAGUUAAGAGACUGAAAGACAAUGAGAGACUGCAAGAACAGGACAGACAAGAGAAGGAGGAAGAGAGACAGAAAGAACUAGAAAGAGAGAGUGAGGCAGCAAGACAAAAACAGGAUUUUCGGAAGGAAUUUGAAAGACUUGAAGAGAAUGCAAGGCAAAGAGAGAAUGAAAGUCAACCAGAUAAAAUGAGACUAGAAAAGGAGGAAGAGAGACAAAAACAGAUGGACAAAACGAGUGAGGAGGCAAGAGAAACAGAAGCACUGCAGAGGGACCUUGAAAGACCGAGAGAGACAAAAAUAAAGUACCAUCAGGAGAGACAAGAGGAGGAAGAGAGACAGAAAGAGAUGGAGCUAAAGAUGGAUGCAGCAAAACACAAAGAAGAGCGUCAGAGGGACAUUGAGAGAUUUGACGGGCUUGCAGAACAUCGAGGGAUUGAGAUGAAGGGAGAACGGCUGACGGGGGAGAGGAAAGAGAAAAGACAAAAAGAAAUGGAGAGAGCAAAGGAGGAGGCCAGACAAGAAGAAGACCUGCAGAGGGAAGUUAAGAGACUGAAAGACAAUGAGAGACUGCAAGAACAGGACAGACAAGAGAAGGAGGAGGAAGAGAGACAGAAAGAACUAGAGAGAGAGAGGGAGGAGGAGAGACACAAAGCAGACCUGCAGAGGGAACUUGAAAAAAAGGGUGAAAUCCAAGAAGAGCAGCGGACUGAAGCAGAGGACCACAGACUUGCCAUGGAGACAGAGCAACAACAAGCGGUCACUGAGGAAGAAAGGGGUGAGGUUGGAGAAAUAGAACAAUCUGAGCAAGACAGCGAGCAGGAAAGGAAAAGGCUGGAGACGGAAAGCCAAGAGGAGGAGAGAAAAAAAGAGAUGGAAAUAAAAAUGGAGGACAGGAGGCAGAGAGAAGAGAAUAGAAAAGCCAUGGAGCUGAGAUGGAGACAAAAAGGAGACAGGAGAUGGAAAGAGAAAGAACUGAAGAGACAGAAAGAGCUUGAGAAAAAGUCAGAGGAAGAGGUAAAACAACAUGAGGAGAAAGGAAACGAGGAGAAAGAGAGGAAGGAGGAGGAAAUGAAGAGACUAAGAGAGAGGGACAAAACCCAGUUGGCCAAGUUAUAUGAUAUGAAAGAAAAAGCUGCAGAUAACUUUUGGCUCCAAACAACAUUGGACAAGCAAAUAGAGUUAGUUAAAGAUAGGGAGAGAAUUAUGAGAGAGGAUGAGAAAAUGAAAGAAUCAGAGAAGAGAUGGGAGGAGGAGGAAAGACAACGGCAGGAAUGCGGACAACAGUCAGAUGAGGCAACACGACAGUGGCAGGAGAAGCAUAGACUAGCAGUCAUGAGGAGAAAGGAGAAAGAGAAUAGGAGAGCCAUCGAGGAAAGGAGUCAGUACAGGAGAGAAGAGGAGCAGAGAAAAAAGGAGAUGGAACAAGAAAUGAAGAGGGAAGAGAAACGUAAGGAGGAGAGAAUAGCAGAUACCAAGGAGGAUUGCACAGUAGUAAAGGAGGACGAUGCAGAAAUGAAACAGAAAAGCAGAGAGAAGGUUAAGAAUGCGUGGGAGCCAGAAAAGGAAGUGACAGAGAAGGAAGUGACAGAAAAGGAAGUGACAGAGAAGGAAGUGACAGAGAAGGAAGUGACAGAGAAGAAAGUGACAGAGAAGGACGUGUCAGAGAAGGAAGUGACAGAGAAGAAAGUGACAGAGAAGGACGUGUCAGAGAAGGAAGUGACAGAGAAGGAAGUGACAGAGAAGGAAGUGUCAGAGAUAAAGAAGGAGAAGAAACAUGGUUUCUUGAGCCAGUUCUGGCAGAAGGUAAAACCAAAAAAGAAGGCAACAAAAGAGGAGAAAAAAAGAGCCAGACUGGCUGAGAUUGAAGCGUAUGUGGACAAACUGAACAAGGAGGCCGACCGUAACAUACAGGCCUUUGAGGAUGAGUAGUCUACACCUUCAGUUGGGGCCUCAGAUCAGUCAUGGCGACCGCCUGGAGGGAAAUCAACAUAGGCUCUAUAUCGUGUCUAGAAGGAUGGACGACAUUCUGCUGCUGACCUUGAUCAACAGGAACUCUACAACCUUUCCACUACAUCUACAGAAUUUUCCUCAAACAUGAACCUUAUCAACCUUGAACCAAUGAAUCUUAAUAAAGUUGAUGUUUUGACCACAUGCUUCUACAGUGCCAUGUUGAUUCAAAG